Molecule: small RNA, 1878 nt
Filed under: Cryptococcus neoformans H99
Lineage: Eukaryota; Fungi; Basidiomycota; Tremellomycetes; Tremellales; Cryptococcaceae
Description: Cryptococcus neoformans var. grubii H99 hypothetical RNA
Source: RNAcentral
GUGAAAGACGUGACGUCGUGCGAGAGCAUUAUAGUCGUGGAGCAGGGAUGGUGGUAGUACCGGCAUAAGAAGCGACACGGCUGAACCCUACUCUUCCUAGCACUCGUGUCUUCGCCGAUCCAAAAAUCGGCGGUUGACCGAGACUCAAGGCCGCACGCGGACAAGGGCUAGCGUCGGUAUCCAUUUCCGCACUGCUAUCUCCCGGAUGCGGUGAGGAGCUGUUAUCCUGGUCAUCCUCUUCUUUGAUUGUAUUGUUGCCACGGGUAUUGACCCCCUGAACACCAAUCCGACGAGCGGCAGCAGCUGAAGCUGCAGCAAAAGCGAGAGGAGGACAUGGGGGUAGGGCACGAGAGGAUGAUUGCUGUUGCUCGCCAUAGGUGAAUGAUCGAGUGCGGCUGAACUUGCGGAAGUCGUGCAAGUCUGAGUCUCGACGUUCGAAGUGUUUGGGAUCAUCCAUGGGCGUGUAACCCUUGGGAUCACAACGCUCCGGUCGAGUUCGGUAAAACCCACAAUAACCGCCCUCAAGGAUGUAAACUUCUGGAUAGUAUAUCUUAGGAUAAAUGGCGUUGUUGAGCAGGCGGUCUCGAGACCUGAGAUGCUUGGCGAAAGUAGGGGCUCGUUUGGCGCUAAAUUCACAGUGGAAUACAAGGACUACUGGUUGGCCAUCUUCAAGUUGCCCACUUCGACUGGGUCUCGGCAGACAUUCGCCGUCGGCGUGGAUUCCAUCGGCUUCAGAAAGAAGCAAUUUGUCAAGGGCGUCCAUGGACUUCACAUUGAUUGCGCCGGCAAUGUGACCACCGUCGUACUCAUAAUCGAACCGGCAAUCGAGGACAUGAUAGCGCUUGAUCUUGUGUGAGUACUUGCCGCUGAGCAGCUCGUCAAGCUGGUAAAUUGUUAGUGGUUGGGGCAAAAAGCCAUCAAAUAAAACUUACGGUAUCGGGUGUGAUCCUCACCAAACCGUCCUCUUUUACCUUGUGACAAGGCAAAAUUUUUCCAUCUAUUUCAUUAUCUCCGAAUCCGGGCAGCCCUCCAGGCCCAUAAGGGCUCGUUUUCUUUCCCUUAUGAAGAGGACUGACGACACCUUCACCCGAAGCGGCAAUAGAAGCUCGAACAGACUUGAAUCCGGGCGACCCAUCAACUUUGGGGGCCAUGCGUGCACCGUAUCUUCGUGCAUAUUCAGCAUGAGCACCAACACAAGGGGAGUUUUCAAAUUCGCUGUCUUCGUCGUCCAUCUCAUUUGCAAUAUUUUGGUCGCAUACAGAGUAAGCUCGUCGCAUAGGUGCAUUGGCCGCACGAGGAAAUGUACCAGAUUGACCGAGGGUCUGCUUAGGGGGCCCGUAUAGGAUGGGGAAGGCAGAGUUGGUUGAAGCAGUUCUAGUGGCAUCAUCGCAGGAUGGAGCCGCGAGGGGACCAAGAGUAGGUCUUUUAUAGGAAGGUCCACGCCGAGAAGCAAUUGUAUUAGCCCUCCCCCCUCCAAAAAGCAUUGCACUAGAUGAGGCAGUCUUGUCUAAAGGAGGGCGCGAGACACCGAGCCCUAAAGAUGUGCGUUUGGCUGAAGGGGAACCAGACGAAGGGGACGCUGGGGGGCCAUUGACAAGGCUACGUCGCUUACCGGGUGGCGCUUGAGAUGGUGGAGCAGGUGAUUCACAAAAGAAUGACCCGAGGCCAGGAGAACUUGAAGAUGAUGCAGGCCCGCCCAGCGCAGGUGAUGCCAUGAGCGAUCCUGGUUUAAAGUCUGAUCUGAUUUGGGCUGUGGGAAUCACUGACCUCCGUCCUGAGGACACCAAGUAGAGACGAAUUCUUGGAACAUUCACCCAGCUCCUCGUUAGAUGACGUCCAUUGCAUAGGUACAGAUGCAUUGGCUUUUAACAUCCUGGC